CUACGGGAGGCACCAGUGAGGAAUAUUGCACAAUGGGCGCAAGCCUGAUGCAGCCAUGCCGCGUGUAUGAAGAAGGCCUUCGGGUUGUAAAGUACUUUCAGCGGGGAGGAAGGGAGUAAAGUUAAUACCUUUGCUCAUUGACGUUACCCGCAGAAGAAGCACCGGCUAACUCCGUGCCAGCAGCCGCGGUAAUACGGAGGGUGCAAGCGUUAAUCGGAAUUACUGGGCGUAAAGCGCACGCAGGCGGUUUGUUAAGUCAGAUGUGAAAGCCCCGGGCUCAACCUGGGAACUGCAUCUGAUACUGGCAAGCUUGAGUCUCGUAGAGGGGGGUAGAAUUCCAGGUGUAGCGGUGAAAUGCGUAGAGAUCUGGAGGAAUACCGGUGGCGAAGGCGGCCCCCUGGACGAAGACUGACGCUCAGGUGCGAAAGCGUGGGGAGCAAACAGGAUUAGAUACCCUUGUAGUC
This 464-nucleotide ribosomal RNA is filed under the name uncultured bacterium. RNAcentral's name for it is "partial 16S ribosomal RNA". It matches the Rfam family "Bacterial small subunit ribosomal RNA", at positions 339 to 795 of the family's 1533-position model. The record is from RNAcentral.